Molecule: ribosomal RNA, 330 nt
Filed under: uncultured eukaryote
Lineage: Eukaryota
Description: partial 18S ribosomal RNA
Rfam family: Eukaryotic small subunit ribosomal RNA
Source: RNAcentral
CCCUUAGAUGUUCUGGGCCGCACGCGUGCUCCACUGAUGCAUUCAACGAGUCUAAAACCUGGUCUGAUAGGGCUGGGUAAUCUUUUGAAAGUGCAUCGUGAUUGGGAUAGAUGAUUGCAAUUCUUCAUCUUCAACGAGGAAUGCCUAGUAAACGCAAGUCAUCAGCUUGCAUUGAUUACGUCCCUGCCCUUUGUACACACCGCCCGUCGCUCCUACCGAUUGAAUGAUCCGAUGAAUACCAUGGAUUGAGAGUACGAAUAGGUUCGCUUAUUUCUGCUGCUCGAGAAGUGGAGUAAAUCUUAUCAUUUAGAGGAAGGAGAAGUCGUAACA